UACAGAGGGUGCAAGCGUUAAUCGGAAUUACUGGGCGUAAAGCGCGCGUAGGUGGUUUGUUAAGUUGGAUGUGAAAUCCCCGGGCUCAACCUGGAACUGCAUCCAAAACUGGCAAGCUAGAGUAUGGUAGAGGGUGGUGGAAUUUCCUGUGUAGCGGUGAAAUGCGUAGAUAUAGGAAGGAACACCAGUGGCGAAGGCGACCACCUGGACUGAUACUGACACUGAGGUGACGAAAGCGUGGGGAGCAAACAGG
Molecule: ribosomal RNA, 253 nt
Filed under: uncultured bacterium
Lineage: Bacteria
Description: partial 16S ribosomal RNA
Rfam family: Bacterial small subunit ribosomal RNA
Source: RNAcentral